RNAcentral lists this ribosomal RNA (419 nucleotides) under Dendropsophus cf. mathiassoni ABGD cluster 82. RNAcentral's name for it is "partial large subunit ribosomal RNA". It matches the Rfam family "Bacterial large subunit ribosomal RNA", at positions 1808 to 2422 of the family's 2925-position model. Lineage: Eukaryota; Metazoa; Chordata; Amphibia; Anura; Hylidae. The record is from RNAcentral.
CAAAAACAUCGCCUCUUGACAUACAUAAGAGGUCCAGCCUGCCCAGUGACUAAGUUCAACGGCCGCGGUAUCCUAACCGUGCGAAGGUAGCGUAAUCACUUGUUCUUUAAAUGAGGACUAGUAUGAAUGGCACCACGAGGGUUAUACUGUCUCCUUUUUUUAAUCAAUGAAACUGAUCUCCCCGUGAAGAAGCGGGGAUAAAUUUAUAAGACGAGAAGACCCUAUGGAGCUUUAAACAAUUAUAGCACUGGCCCACACCUCUUAUUCUUCUGAGAUAUAAUUAUUAUACAGGCCAACAUGACUAUUAGUUUUAGGUUGGGGUGACCGCGGAGCAAAAAUUAACCUCCACGUUGAACGGAGCUACUCCUGAGCUAAAAACUACAACUUUAAGCACCAAUAAACUGACAUCAAUUGACCCA